UACGAAGGGGGCUAGCGUUGUUCGGAUUUACUGGGCGUAAAGCGCACGUAGGCGGAUCGUUAAGUCGGGGGUGAAAUCCUGGAGCUCAACUCCAGAACUGCCUUCGAUACUGGCGAUCUCGAGUCCGGAAGAGGUGAGUGGAACUCCUAGUGUAGAGGUGGAAUUCGUAGAUAUUAGGAAGAACACCGGUGGCGAAGGCGGCGAGCUGGUCCAUUACUGACGCUGAGGCGCGAAAGCGUGGGGAGCAAACAGG
RNAcentral lists this ribosomal RNA (253 nucleotides) under uncultured bacterium. RNAcentral describes it as "partial 16S ribosomal RNA". It matches the Rfam family "Bacterial small subunit ribosomal RNA", at positions 524 to 776 of the family's 1533-position model. The record is from RNAcentral.